Molecule: ribosomal RNA, 135 nt
Filed under: Seonamhaeicola marinus
Lineage: Bacteria; Pseudomonadati; Bacteroidota; Flavobacteriia; Flavobacteriales; Flavobacteriaceae
Description: partial 16S ribosomal RNA
Rfam family: Bacterial small subunit ribosomal RNA
Source: RNAcentral
GUCAAGCCAUGGAAGCUGGGAGUGCCUGAAGUCCGUCACCGUAAGGAGCGGCCUAGGGUAAAAUCGGUAACUAGGGCUAAGUCGUAACAAGGUAGCCGUACCGGAAGGUGCGGCUGGAACACCUCCUUUCUAGAG